RNAcentral lists this ribosomal RNA (1346 nucleotides) under uncultured bacterium. Its description in RNAcentral is "bacterial SSU rRNA". It matches the Rfam family "Bacterial small subunit ribosomal RNA", at positions 28 to 1381 of the family's 1533-position model. The record is from RNAcentral.
GACGAACGCUGGCGGCGUGCUUAACACAUGCAAGUCGAACGGAAAGGCCCUGCUUUUGUGGGGUGCUCGAGUGGCGAACGGGUGAGUAACACGUGAGUAACCUGCCCUUGACUUUGGGAUAACUUCAGGAAACUGGGGCUAAUACCGGAUAGGAGCUCCUGCUGCAUGGUGGGGGUUGGAAAGUUUCGGCGGUUGGGGAUGGACUCGCGGCUUAUCAGCUUGUUGGUGGGGUAGUGGCUUACCAAGGCUUUGACGGGUAGCCGGCCUGAGAGGGUGACCGGCCACAUUGGGACUGAGAUACGGCCCAGACUCCUACGGGAGGCAGCAGUGGGGAAUAUUGCACAAUGGGCGGAAGCCUGAUGCAGCAACGCCGCGUGCGGGAUGACGGCCUUCGGGUUGUAAACCGCUUUCGCCUGUGACGAAGCGUGAGUGACGGUAAUGGGUAAAGAAGCACCGGCUAACUACGUGCCAGCAGCCGCGGUGAUACGUAGGGUGCGGGCGUUGUCCGGAUUUAUUGGGCGUAAAGGGCUCGUAGGUGGUUGAUCGCGUCGGAAGUGUAAUCUUGGGGCUUAACCCUGAGCGUGCUUUCGAUACGGGUUGACUUGAGGAAGGUAGGGGAGAAUGGAAUUCCUGGUGGAGCGGUGGAAUGCGCAGAUAUCAGGAGGAACACCAGUGGCGAAGGCGGUUCUCUGGGCCUUUCCUGACGCUGAGGAGCGAAAGCGUGGGGAGCGAACAGGCUUAGAUACCCUGGUAGUCCACGCUGUAAACGGUGGGUACUAGGUGUGGGGUCCAUUCCACGGGUUCCGUGCCGUAGCUAACGCUUUAAGUACCCCGCCUGGGGAGUACGGCCGCAAGGCUAAAACUCAAAGGAAUUGACGGGGCCCCGCACAAGCGGCGGAGCAUGCGGAUUAAUUCGAUGCAACGCGUAGAACCUUACCUGGGUUUGACAUGGAUCGGGAGCGCUCAGAGAUGGGUGUGCCUCUUUUGGGGUCGGUUCACAGGUGGUGCAUGGCUGUCGUCAGCUCGUGUCGUGAGAUGUUGGGUUAAGUCCCGCAACGAGCGCAACCCUUGUUCACUGUUGCCAGCACGUUAUGGUGGGGACUCAGUGGAGACCGCCGGGGUCAACUCGGAGGAAGGUGGGGAUGACGUCAAGUCAUCAUGCCCCUUAUGUCCAGGGCUUCACGCAUGCUACAAUGGCUGGUACAGAGAGUGGCGAGCCUGUGAGGGUGAGCGAAUCUCGGAAAGCCGGUCUCAGUUCGGGUUGGGGUCUGCAACUCGACCUCAUGAAGUCGGAGUCGCUAGUAAUCGCAGAUCAGCAACGCUGCGGUGAAUACGUUCCCGGGGCU